RNAcentral lists this microRNA precursor (90 nucleotides) under Triticum aestivum (bread wheat). RNAcentral's name for it is "miR167b stem-loop (tae-MIR167b)". Its record names the gene tae-MIR167b. The record is from miRBase by way of RNAcentral. Lineage: Eukaryota; Viridiplantae; Streptophyta; Magnoliopsida; Poales; Poaceae.
CUGCCCAAGGGAACGAGUGAAGCUGACAGCAUGAUCUAUCUCCGAGUGAUCAAACAAGAAACGCUGCGGCAGCCUCACUUCUUCCCGGCG